This 74-nucleotide transfer RNA is filed under the name Gammaproteobacteria bacterium RIFCSPHIGHO2_02_FULL_42_43. RNAcentral describes it as "tRNA-Arg". It matches the Rfam family "tRNA". Rfam says of the family: Transfer RNA (tRNA) molecules are approximately 80 nucleotides in length. Lineage: Bacteria; Pseudomonadati; Pseudomonadota; Gammaproteobacteria. RNAcentral also lists the same sequence under 3 other names. The record is from RNAcentral.
GCCCCGGUAGCUCAGCUGGAAAGAGCAUCCCCCUCCUAAGGGGAAGGUCGGCCGUUCAAAUCGGCUCUGGGGCA